Molecule: ribosomal RNA, 491 nt
Filed under: uncultured bacterium
Lineage: Bacteria
Description: bacterial SSU rRNA
Rfam family: Bacterial small subunit ribosomal RNA
Source: RNAcentral
AUGAACGCUAGCGGCAGGCUUAACACAUGCAAGUCGAGGGGCAGCAUGACACGGAGAUUCGUCGAAGUGUUGAUGGCGACCGGCGCAAGGGUGCGUAACGCGUGAGCAACUUGCCCGUUUCUGGGGCAUAACCGGUGGAAACGCCGACUAAUACCCCAUAGUAUUGGAUUUAGGCAUCUUUAUCCAAUUAAAGAAAUUCGGAAACGGAUAGGCUCGCGUGACAUUAGCUAGAUGGCGGGGUAACGGCCCACCAUGGCGACGAUGUCUAGGGGUUCUGAGAGGAAGGUCCCCCACACUGGAACUGAGACACGGUCCAGACUCCUACGGGAGGCAGCAGUGAGGAAUAUUGGUCAAUGGUCGGAAGACUGAACCAGCCAUGCCGCGUGAAGGUCACGGCCCUAUGGGUCUUAAACUUCUUUUGUAAGGGAGCAAUAAGGUUCACGUGUGGACUGAUGAGAGUACCUUACGAAUAAGCAUCGGCUAACUCCGUG